GCAGUAGCCGCGGGAAUACGUAGGUCCCGAGCGUUGUCCGGAUUUAUUGGGCGUAAAGGGAGCGCAGGCGGUUUAGUAAGUCUGAAGUUAAAGGCAUUGGCUCAACCAGUGUAUGCUGUGGAAACUGUUAGACUUGAGUGCAGAAGGGGAGAGUGGAAUUCCAUGUGUAGCGGUGAAAUGCGUAGAUAUAUGGAGGAACACCGGUGGCGAAAGCGGCUCUCUGGCUUGUAACUGACGCUGAGGCUCGAAAGCGUGGGGAGCAAACAGGAUUAGAUACCCCCGUAGUCCCUGUAUCUUAUACA
Molecule: ribosomal RNA, 302 nt
Filed under: uncultured bacterium
Lineage: Bacteria
Description: partial 16S ribosomal RNA
Rfam family: Bacterial small subunit ribosomal RNA
Source: RNAcentral